GUUGCGCCCCGGCUUGAGUGGAACUCUUUUUUUAAAAAAUUUUAAAGCAUUGUGAUUGUAAAUUUUUUAAAAAAAAGUGGGAACGGAAGACGGAUAAAGGC
RNAcentral lists this unclassified non-coding RNA (101 nucleotides) under Halpernia humi. Its description in RNAcentral is "Chryseobacterium humi Flavo-1 RNA". The record is from RNAcentral. Lineage: Bacteria; Pseudomonadati; Bacteroidota; Flavobacteriia; Flavobacteriales; Weeksellaceae.